AUGAAAGUAGAUUAUAAGGUUGCUCAUCUCCGUGUUACAUCACCGCCACCGGUUACUGGCUCUAUUUCACGUUCGCUCAAGUUAUUUGUUCCCAUAUUUAAUGGUUCGAAUGCUUCUGAUUGGCCUUUUCAAAUUGGAGAAUUUUUCAAUUUCCACGACACACCUGAAGAUUCGCGUCUCCAAAUCGUUUCCUUUCAUUUGGAAGGUCGUGCAACUACUUGGUUUUAG
Molecule: non-coding RNA, 228 nt
Organism: Vicia faba (fava bean)
Lineage: Eukaryota; Viridiplantae; Streptophyta; Magnoliopsida; Fabales; Fabaceae
Source: the annotation of a GenBank genome assembly